CGGUUUGUUAAGUNAGAUGUGAAAUCCCCGGGCUCAACCUGGGAACUGCAUCUGAUACUGGCAAGCUUGAGUCUCGUAGAGGGGGGUAGAAUUCCAGGUGUAGCGGUGAAAUGCGUAGAGAUCUGGAGGAAUACCGGUGGCGAAGGCGGCCCCCUGGACGAAGACUGACGCUCAGGUGCGAAAGCGUGGGGAGCAAACAGGAUUAGAUACCCUGGUAGUCCACGCCGUAAACGAUGUCGACUUGGAGGUUGUGCCCUUGAGGCGUGGCUUCCGGAGUAACGCGUUAAGUCGACCGCCUGGGGAGUACGGCCGCAAGGUUAAAACUCAAAUGAAUUGACGGGGGCCCGCACAAGCGGUNGAGCAUGUGGUUUAAUUCGAUGCAACGCGAAVVCCUUACCUGGUCUUGACAUCCAC
This 414-nucleotide ribosomal RNA is filed under the name uncultured bacterium. Its description in RNAcentral is "bacterial SSU rRNA". It matches the Rfam family "Bacterial small subunit ribosomal RNA", at positions 576 to 991 of the family's 1533-position model. The record is from RNAcentral.